Molecule: unclassified non-coding RNA, 230 nt
Filed under: soil metagenome
Description: partial internal transcribed spacer 1
Source: RNAcentral
ACGAUCUGCACCCUGUCAAAGGGUCGAUCCACAAACUGUGCACCCUCUGUCGUGUUUGGCGGCAGGACGGUUCGAAGUUCCCCUGGGGGGUCGCAAGAUUCCCUGAGACUUGCACCGUCCCGCGUCGGAGGGUCGCGAGUCCUCGUUCCCCCGGCGUUUUGCCGCCAGUGAAAACAAACAUCUUGCACUUUGGACUGAUCAUUACGUCACGCAAGUGAUAAAAUCCGAAA